CCCCUACGGGGCGCAGCAGUGAGGAAUAUUGGUCAAUGGGCUUACGCCUGAACCAGCCAAGUCGCGUGGGGGGGGGGGGGGGUAUGGGUUGUAAACCUCUUUUGUCAGGGAGCAACGCCGGCUACGUGUAGCCGGACUGAGAGUACCUGAAGAAAAAGCAUCGGCUAACUCCGUGCCAGCAGCCGCGGUAAUACGGAGGAUGCGAGCGUUAUCCGGAUUUAUUGGGUUUAAAGGGUGCGUAGGCGGAAUGCCAAGUCAGCGGUAAAAUCGCGGGGCUCAACCUCGCUCCGCCGUUGAAACU
Molecule: ribosomal RNA, 301 nt
Filed under: uncultured bacterium
Lineage: Bacteria
Description: partial 16S ribosomal RNA
Rfam family: Bacterial small subunit ribosomal RNA
Source: RNAcentral